AGUGAACGCUGGCGGUAGGCCUAACACAUGCAAGUCGAACGGCAGCACAGAAAGUGCUUGCUCUUCCCGAUGGCGAGUGGCGGACGGGUGAGGAGUACAACGGACUCUACAUUUUCGUAGGGGCUAACGUAGGGAAGCUUACGCCAGUAUAGCAUCCGACCUACGGGUGAAAGCAGGGAAUCUUCUCACUUUGGGCGAAUGUCUGAGCCGAUGUCGGAUUUGCUAGUUGGCGGGGUAAAGGCCCCCCCAGGCGACGAUCCGUAGCUGGGGUGUGAGGGUGAUCAGGCACACUGAGACUGAGAGACGGUACUGACUCUGACGGGAGGCAGCGAUUGCGAAUAGUGGACGAAGUGCGGAAUCCUGAUCCAUCCAUACCGCGUGGGUGAAGAAGGCCUUCGUGGUGUAAAGCGCUUUUGUGGGUAAAGAAAAGCAGCAGGUUAAUACCCCGCUGAUGUGACGGUACCCGAAGAAGAAGCACCGGCUAACUUCGUG
This 492-nucleotide ribosomal RNA is filed under the name uncultured bacterium. RNAcentral's name for it is "partial 16S ribosomal RNA". It matches the Rfam family "Bacterial small subunit ribosomal RNA", at positions 29 to 507 of the family's 1533-position model. The record is from RNAcentral.